UACUCCAGAACCGAAGGAAAGAAAAGAAUGC
Molecule: non-coding RNA, 31 nt
Filed under: Rattus norvegicus (Norway rat)
Lineage: Eukaryota; Metazoa; Chordata; Mammalia; Rodentia; Muridae
Source: RNAcentral